This 2440-nucleotide small RNA is filed under the name Cryptococcus neoformans H99. RNAcentral describes it as "Cryptococcus neoformans var. grubii H99 hypothetical RNA". The record is from RNAcentral. Lineage: Eukaryota; Fungi; Basidiomycota; Tremellomycetes; Tremellales; Cryptococcaceae.
AAUGUUCAAUGAUAUUCUCGACGACAACGACAACAAUUCACGAAUUAUCCUCCAUCCUUUCUUUCCUACUUUUGCUUGCCCAAUCAUUAAAUGGUUACCAAUUCGGCGCUAUGUCGGCACCCCAGCCCACCCUCCAGCUGGUUCUCCAUCCCCAAAAGAGGCUGUGCCCCAACCCCAGUUCUCCAUUAGAUCAAAGAAAUUCGCGCUCCCCUGUUUACCUACCAAGGUCCUCAAACUACCUGGUAUAGGGAUUUCGAGAUUCACGUAGCGUGGGGCCUUGGCCCAUUGACGCUGUGCAUUUGUCUCCCUGUUUCCCUUCACCAUGUCUGGCGUUCCACCAACGCUCAAUGAUGGAGGUGAUGAAAUGGAUGGUGGAGGGCCUAGUCCAAGAGGGCGCGAUAAGGGAUGAAACGGAUCUCUACCAAGAUAAACACCCGACCCGGCAUAAUCCAAGGUCACCCUAAACACUGCCCAGAGGAGUACUAUUUCCAUGAGCACCCACCAUACCCAGCGACUCCAGCGUACAGCUUUGUUCAUCCCUUUGCCUAAAGUCUGUGAUGUCCUUAACGCCAGGCUAGCGGGGAAAUCUGAUGAGGCGUGUUGAUUGUGUUGGCGAAGAUGUGGGUGAGAAGAAGCGGAGACGGAAGAGAGAGCAUCAAGCCAUGAUUGCUGGGCAGUUUGGAGUUUGGAAAAAGCGGUUUGAGUGUGGGUCUGGGCAGAGGUGAGCUGCGGAAGAUGGGAAUUGUAUGUCGUCGACCGCAUAGGGAUGGGUAUCCGCCUAUUCACAGCUCUAUCAGCUCUUAUCAUCCUGAUACGUGCAUAAGACACGUGAUUUCCCGAUAUGAAAGGGAUAUGGGUACAAACUUACGAAGUAACACUUCUAGCCAAUUUGGCCGUCCAGCUCAUAUCUCCAACAUUUUCGUCCAUUUUCCCCUCUCUCGUCCGCCUCUCAGGACUCGUUCGAUUCUUUGAAUUCUUUGGACUUUUGGGACUUUUAGGGCUUUUGCGCCGCGGAGAUAAAUUCAAAGUCAGGAUCGACACAUCACCUCCCUCCUCUUCCCUUUUCCCUUUUUUAUCCUCUUCAUCCUCUCUUUCAUAAUCCUCUCUAUGCAUCGUAGCUUCAUAUCUCAAGGGGGAAAAUCUCACUCUCCCUGUCCUACUCCCGCUCUCACUCGCUAUCUGAUCUUGAGGGCGUGGUGACUCAAGUUCGCGCUGUAGACGUUGCGGAAAGGGAAUAAUGUUCCAUGCCCCUGGGGGACGAGGCGUUGGACCGAGGGCAGGAGACUGUGAAUGUGGAUGAGAGGGGGUCGCAAGUUGCUUCUGUAUUGGAUUGGCAUUCGACAGUGAAGAGGGAAGCGGGGUAGGGAAUUUGGGAGUUUGUGUCGGGGAUCGUGAUUGCGACAACGAUUGUGAUGAUGAUACUGUUUGUGGUUGCCGUUUCCUAGGCGAAGGGGUUCUCGAAUAGGGUUUGGUACCUGUCUGAAAAGUGGUCGGAGGUGUACGUGCACGACUCUGACGAAGGGGCAGGCGGAUGGGGGAGGGAGUAUGGCGAUGGUCCGUGGGCAGGGGGGUGCCGGCGCGUUGAGCGGAAGAAUGAUAAUUUGAUUGUUCCCUCUCUUCUAUUGCACCUCUUCCGCCUCCCAAUACCUCUUCUAAGAAUUCCUCUUCUGGAGCAUCGUGUUUCACUUCUUCAUCCUUCAUCUGGUACUCUUUCCUUGUCUCCUUGUCUUCACCUUCGCUCAAACGUAGAGACAACGACCGGAAAUAUGACUUGGUCCUUGAUGCUGAUCCCAGGGCAUUAUCCCCACCACCAACCAUCGGCACCUUUCCCUUCCUCUCCCCAUUAAACAUCCUCGCCCGUCUUGACGAGUAUGUAUCAACUCCUUCCUCUUCCUCACUCCCGCUUAUGGAGUGAGAAGGAAGUUCGGGCAGGGCUGGCGGAGAAGGGGAGCGGGUUGGAAGGCGUCUUGAUGGUGGGGAUGGGUGGGAUCUAGAAGUAGCUUGAUACAAACUUUCACGUGUUUGGAAAUGUGUGUGUGGGCUUUCCUUUUUAGACGGAUCGGGUCUGGCAGUCCCUCUCCUGUCCCUGUCACCAUUCCUAUCAACACCAUCUUCAUAUCUGAUCUCCUCCUCAUCACCCUCAACAGUACUCUCUUCCCAUCCCACAGCAGAGACGCCUUCAUCCAAGUCUAACUCCAUCUCUGCUCUGACUUCCAAUCCUUUGAGAUGCAUCGCAAAUUCAUCGUGGGUUGAUGGGAGGGGAUCUAUACUUGAUCGGCGCGGAGUGGGAGGUAUAGAUGGUGAGCGGCGUUGACGUUUGGGUUCAAGCGAGCGAGGCGGGGUUGGGUAACGUUGCGGUGAAGCGGCGGACGGUAGUGCACUUGAUGGUGGGGAGGCAUGAGACGGGGAAUAGGUUGUACGGUAAUGGCGUCUAGAUGCA